GAUCAUUUCCAUGUCUUUGUUGGUGAUCUCAGCCCAGAAAUUACAACUGAAGAUAUAAAAGCUGCUUUUGCACCAUUUGGAAGAAUAUCAGAUGCCCGAGUGGUAAAAGACAUGGCAACAGGAAAGUCUAAGGGAUAUGGCUUUGUCUCCUUUUUCAACAAAUGGGAUGCUGAAAACGCCAUUCAACAGAUGGGUGGCCAGUGGCUUGGUGGAAGACAAAUCAGAACUAACUGGGCAACCCGAAAGCCUCCCGCUCCAAAGAGUACAUAUGAGUCAAAUACCAAACAGCUGUCAUAUGAUGAGGUUGUCAAUCAGUCUAGUCCAAGCAACUGUACUGUAUACUGUGGAGGUGUUACUUCUGGGCUAACAGAACAACUAAUGCGUCAGACUUUUUCACCAUUUGGACAAAUAAUGGAAAUUCGAGUCUUUCCAGAUAAAGGAUAUUCAUUUGUUCGGUAGGGAUGGUUUUUUAAAAAAACUUUUUUCUUGGUAAUGUAACUGGAAAACCAG
This 510-nucleotide small RNA is filed under the name Pan troglodytes (chimpanzee). RNAcentral describes it as "retained intron". The record is from RNAcentral. Lineage: Eukaryota; Metazoa; Chordata; Mammalia; Primates; Hominidae.